Tupaia belangeri (northern tree shrew) is the source of this 135-nucleotide small nucleolar RNA. The record is from Ensembl. NCBI's taxonomy places the organism in Eukaryota, Metazoa, Chordata, Mammalia, Scandentia, Tupaiidae.
UGUCCCUGGCCUGGGCAGAGUGGCAUCUGGCUGGUGGUGCCCAUCUCAUAUCAGUCAGGGACAAACCAACCGCUUGUUCAUCCUAGAUUGGCUUUUGGUCAGUGCCUUUGCCUGGUUCAUGCCUUGGACACGUAG